This 149-nucleotide non-coding RNA is filed under the name Platyophrya macrostoma. The record is from RNAcentral. Lineage: Eukaryota; Ciliophora; Colpodea; Cyrtolophosidida; Platyophryidae.
UGCCAUCUCGAAAAUAGAUGGAGAGCUUCAAAAUGAAAAUAAUAAAGCAGCAACACUACAAAAACACGAAAAGGGAGUUUUUUUUUUGUUCAUUUGUAGUUUUUUUCAUCAUUUGCUGUUUUUUUUUUUUUUUUUUUCUCGUUUUGUCU